AGAGUUUGAUCCUGGCUCAGAUUGAACGCUGGCGGCAUGCCUUACACAUGCAAGUCGAACGGCAGCACGGGGGCAACCCUGGUGGCGAGUGGCGAACGGGUGAGUAACAUAUCGGAACAUACCCUAGAGUGGGGGAUAACGUAGCGAAAGUUACGCUAAUACCGCAUACGAUCUAAGGAUGAAAGUGGGGGAUCUUCGGACCUCAUGCUCAUGGAGUGGCCGAUAUCUGAUUAGCUAGUUGGUGAGGUAAAGGCUCACCAAGGCGACGAUCAGUAGCUGGUUUGAGAGAACGACCAGCCACACUGGAACUGAGACACGGUCCAGACUCCUACGGGAGGCAGCAGUGGGGAAUUCUGGACAAUGGGGGCAACCCUGAUCCAGCAAUGCCGCGUGAGUGAAGAAGGCCUUCGGGUUGUAAAGCUCUUUUGUCAGGGAAGAAACGGUGAGUUCUAAUACAGCUUGCUAAUGACGGUACCUGAAGAAUAAGCACCGGCUAACUACGUGCCAGCAGCCGCGGUAAUACGUAGGGUGCAAGCGUUAAUCGGAAUUACUGGGCGUAAAGCGUGCGCAGGCGGUUAUAUAAGUCAGAUGUGAAAUCCCUGGGCUCAACCUAGGAACUGCAUUUGAGACUGUAUGGCUAGAGUGUGUCAGAGGGGGGUAGAAUUCCACGUGUAGCAGUGAAAUGCGUAGAGAUGUGGAGGAAUACCGAUGGCGAAGGCAGCCCCCUGGGAUAACACUGACGCUCAUGCACGAAAGCGUGGGGAGCAAACAGGAUUAGAUACCCUGGUAGUCCACGCCCU
Molecule: ribosomal RNA, 800 nt
Filed under: uncultured bacterium
Lineage: Bacteria
Description: bacterial SSU rRNA
Rfam family: Bacterial small subunit ribosomal RNA
Source: RNAcentral